CGCCCGCCCACUGCGCGGGCGAGCUACGGGAGCUGCAGAGGCGGCCGCCGGCUAGCCGGGACCUGGGAGUGGAGAAAGGCUGCCCACGUGGCUGGCGGGAGCCUCCCGGCCUGGGAUUGGUCGAAAAGGAGGGGCGUGGGCGGGCAUGGGGGCGGUUCCCCCGCCCAGGUCUCUCACUCUGCCAGGUUUCUCAGGCGGACUGUAACUGGUGGCAUUUGUCCCGGGACCAGGAGCCCUGCUGGUGCAGUGGUGACGUGAGGGAGUGGAGGGAUCUGCAGUCCUGUGAUGAGGUCUCAGUCUUCUGUCCCUCCUGCAGUAUGGUCAAGCACAGAGCUGACCACCAGCAGGCCCUUAGGAAACACGUGUUGGUGCCCAGUUGCUCAAUCUGAUGACCAUUCACUGGGGCCCUCCCAAGCCGAGUCAGAUGAUGCCCAGUAGCUGGUCCACAGUUUUAUGUGUGAACAAGAUGGAGGCUGACCUGACUGGCUUUAACAUCGAUGCCCCCCGUUGGGACCAGCGCACCUUCCUGGGGAGAGUGAAGCACUUCCUAAACAUCACGGACCCCCGCACUGUCUUCGUAUCUGAGCAGGAGUUGGACUGGGCCAAGGUGAUGGUGGAGAAGAGCAGGAUGGGGGUUGUGCCCCCAGGCACCCAAGUGGAGCAGCUGCUAUAUGCCAAGAAGCUAUAUGACUCGGCCUUCCACCCCGACACUGGGGAGAAGAUGAACGUCAUCGGGCGCAUGUCUUUCCAGCUCCCUGGCGGCAUGAUCAUCACGGGCUUCAUGCUCCAGUUCUACAGGACGAUGCCGGCGGUCAUCUUCUGGCAGUGGGUGAACCAGUCCUUCAAUGCCUUAGUCAACUACACCAACAGGAAUGCGGCUUCCCCCGUAUCAGUCAGGCAUGAAGCCUCACCAGCCGACUUUCUCCCUCAAGCCCGUGGUUUGGCUCUCAGCUGGCAGGCGCCCCACUCCCAAGCAUCUCUGUCCUCCCCCAGGCAGAUGACCGUUUCCUACUUCACAGCCACAACCACUGCUGUGGCCACGGCUGUGGGCAUGAACAUGUUGACAAAGAAAGCACCGCCCUUGGUGGGCCGCUGGGUGCCCUUUGCCGCUGUGGCUGCGGCUAACUGUGUCAAUAUCCCCAUGAUGCGACAGCAGGAGCUCAUCCAGGGAAUCUGCGUGAAGGACAGGAAUGAAAAUGAGAUUGGUCAUUCCCGGAGAGCUGCGGCCAUAGGCAUCACCCAAGUAGUUAUUUCUCGGAUCACCAUGUCAGCUCCUGGGAUGAGUAAGACAGGGAAGCCCUUCCAUCCUGGGGAACCCUGUGACACAGGAUGGAGUCUUGCUGCCAGUCGUCAUGGAAAGGCUUGAGAAACUGCACUUCAUGCAGAAAGUCAAGGUCCUGCACGCCCCAUUGCAGGUCAUGCUGUGUGGGUACUUCCUCAUCUUCAUGGUGCCAGUGGCGUGUGGGCUCUUCCCACAGAAAUGUGAAUUACCCGUUUCCUAUCUGGAACCAGAGCUCCGAGACACCAUCAAGGCCAAGUAUGGAGAACUUGAGCCUUAUGUCUACUUCAAUAAGGGUCUCUAAAUGCCCCGCCUCAGCAAGGACCAGUCUAUCCCCAUAUUCACCAGCUCCUUCUUAGCUACGUGCACACUUGUGUCCUCCUUCCUCUUUGCCAACAAGCCCCAAAAGCCAGGAUAGAUUGGGGGGUGUGACAAUGAAUGCCUCAUGCUUACACCCCAGUACUGGUUGAUUGGACCUCAGGGGAAAAAAGUGAAAAAGGGUAGCAAAGGCCAAUGUCUUCUAGCUGCUUCCUCCUUAACCCCUGUCCCCUGGAAACCAGAAGCUGAGGCCCUCUCAGGGAGGAGACACCAAGCAAAUCAUUUGGAAAAGUUAGGAAACCUUUAGGAUUCUGGUUCCAGCCAGGAUUGAGGAAAAGACCUUGGAUCAAAAGGAAACUUCUAUAUCUCUUUCUUUUUCACUUCCUCUUCCUCUCCCGAGCAAUGGAACCUUUUAAUCAUGUAAUUCUAGCCGAACUCAGGAAAAAGAAGGGGGAAAGGACUCUGUCCUCUUGGGGCUCAUCUCCACCCUUCCCCAUCCUCCUCCUCGUUGGCCCCUGGUCAGACAGCUUUAUUUUCCCCCCAAGAUGGAGUCUUGCUCUGUCGUCCAGGCUGGAGUGCAGUGGCGCGAUCUCAGCUUACUGCAACCUCUGCCUCCUGGAUUCAAGCGAUUCUCCUGCCUCAACCUCUCAAGUAGCUGGGAUUACAGGGCACCCACCACCACGCCCAGCUAAUUUUUGUAUUUUAGUAGAGACGGGGUUUCACCAUGUUGGCCAGGCUGGUCUCGAACUCCUGACCUCAGGUGAUCCGCCCGUCUCGGCCUCCCAAAGUGCUGGGAUUACAGGCAUGAGCCACAGCACCCAGCCUGGACAGCUUUUUUGGGAAUGCUGCUAACCUUGAAAUGAUCAGACACCUAGGAGUUAUUAGUGCUAAAAAGGGGACCAUGCAAGGCAGCAGAGUUACAUGAUUCUUCAAAUCAUGUCUGAAUCUAUUCUUGGAAUCUUCCGUAUAAUAAGGGAAGUUCUCUUUCCCCACUGCCACAUAUGUCUGUUUUAAAAGAUAAGUCCGCUAACUGUGAGUAGAAAUGACGUAUGUAGGCAUUAACUGUACACUUUAAUGGAUAUAAUUUCCUGCCUGCUUCCCUUCCUCAGCCCAGUAGGUUAAACAGCAAAGACAGACUGGUGUGUACUGAAUAGGAAAGGGAAGUUUUAUUUGGAACCCUCUGAGAGGAAAUCAACCAGGACCAAAGAGCCUUAAAGGACACAGAGCAAAGCACAGCCACUUCCCUUCCCCAGCUUGGCUGCCCUAGGUGAUUUCUCAGGCUCCUUGGGGGACUGUUGUUUCUCAUCUGGAAUCAAUGUGUGUAUGAGUUUUGUCUGGUAGGAUUGCUGUCUCCGUCCAAAUGAUAUCACUGUGAACUGAAUAAAUUUGUUGAAAAAGCACAUAGGCACACACACACA
This is an RNA transcript of Piliocolobus tephrosceles (Ugandan red Colobus), 3015 nucleotides long. It is a transcript of the gene named sideroflexin 2, with no coding region annotated. NCBI's taxonomy places the organism in Eukaryota, Metazoa, Chordata, Mammalia, Primates, Cercopithecidae. The record is from RefSeq and is a predicted model, not a curated record. The transcript is spliced from 14 exons.